This 204-nucleotide long non-coding RNA is filed under the name Panax ginseng (ginseng). Its description in RNAcentral is "long non-coding RNA (PGIN_LNC014648)". Lineage: Eukaryota; Viridiplantae; Streptophyta; Magnoliopsida; Apiales; Araliaceae. The record is from RNAcentral.
UAUAUCUACUUGCGGCUCUUUUUCUACCCAAAUCUAUCAUAAAAUCCAAAUCCCACUACAUUCCUUACUACCUCCCUUUUCUCUUCAAGAAAAACUGCUACUUUUGUCAAACUUGUAAUCUCAAAUAAAAAUUUAAGUUAGAAAGAAAAUAUACCGAUAAAUAGUACCUCGCGUUCCAAGAAAAGUAAAGACUUCUAAAUUGAG